This 253-nucleotide ribosomal RNA is filed under the name uncultured bacterium. Its description in RNAcentral is "partial 16S ribosomal RNA". It matches the Rfam family "Bacterial small subunit ribosomal RNA", at positions 524 to 776 of the family's 1533-position model. The record is from RNAcentral.
UACGUAGGGCGCAAGCGUUGUCCGGAAUUAUUGGGCGUAAAGAGCUCGUAGGCGGUCUGUCGCGUCUGCUGUGAAAAUCCAGGGCUCAACCCUGGACCUGCAGUGGGUACGGGCAGACUAGAGUGCGGUAGGGGAGAUCGGAAUUCCUGGUGUAGCGGUGAAAUGCGCAGAUAUCAGGAGGAACACCGGUGGCGAAGGCGGAUCUCUGGGCCGUAACUGACGCUGAGGAGCGAAAGCAUGGGGAGCGAACAGG